This 254-nucleotide ribosomal RNA is filed under the name uncultured bacterium. RNAcentral's name for it is "partial 16S ribosomal RNA". It matches the Rfam family "Bacterial small subunit ribosomal RNA", at positions 524 to 776 of the family's 1533-position model. The record is from RNAcentral.
UACGAACCGUGCGAACGUUAUUCGGAAUCACUGGGCUUAAAGCGCGUGUAGGCGGGACGGCACGUCUGUCGCUGAAAUCCCCCGGCUUAACCGGGGAACUGGCGGAGAUACGACCGUCCUGGAGGGGCGUAGGGGGAUCUGGAACUUCCGGUGGAGCGGUGAAAUGCGUUGAGAUCGGAAGGAACGCCCGUGGCGAAAGCGAGGUCCUGGACGCCUACUGACGCUGAGACGCGAAAGCCAGGGGAGCGAACGGG